RNAcentral lists this ribosomal RNA (650 nucleotides) under uncultured bacterium. RNAcentral describes it as "bacterial SSU rRNA". It matches the Rfam family "Bacterial small subunit ribosomal RNA", at positions 51 to 691 of the family's 1533-position model. The record is from RNAcentral.
ACACAUGCAAGUCGAGGGGCAGCGAGAUUGAAGCUUGCUUCAAUUGUCGGCGACCGGCGGACGGGUGCGUAACGCGUAUGCAACCUACCCAUAACAGGGGGAUAACACUGAGAAAUUGGUACUAAUACCCCAUAACAUCUCGAGUGGCAUCACUUGGGGUUGAAAGCUUCGGUGGUUAUGGAUGGGCAUGCGUUGUAUUAGCUAGUUGGUGAGGUAACGGCUCACCAAGGCGACGAUACAUAGGGGGACUGAGAGGUUAACCCCCCACAUUGGUACUGAGACACGGACCAAACUCCUACGGGAGGCAGCAGUGAGGAAUAUUGGUCAAUGGACGGAAGUCUGAACCAGCCAUGCCGCGUGCAGGAUGACGGCUCUAUGAGUUGUAAACUGCUUUUGUACGAGGGUAAACCCGAAUACGUGUAUUCGGCUGAAAGUAUCGUACGAAUAAGGAUCGGCUAACUCCGUGCCAGCAGCCGCGGUAACACGGAGGAUCCAAGCGUUAUCCGGAUUUAUUGGGUUUAAAGGGUGCGUAGGCGGUCAGAUAAGUUAGAGGUGAAAUUCCGGUGCUUAACACCGGCGCUGCCUCUAAUACUGUUUGACUAGAGAGUAGUUGCGGUAGGCGGAAUGUAUGGUGUAGCGGUGAAAUGCUU